GGUUAAGUGAAUAAGGGCGCACGGUGGAUGCCUUGGCACUAGGAGCCGAUGAAGGACGGGACUAACACCGAUAUGCUUUGGGGAGCUGUAAGUAAGCUAUGAUCCAGAGAUUUCCGAAUGGGGGAACCCAAUAUCUUUUAUAGGAUAUUACUUUUCAGUGAAUACAUAGCUGAUUAGAGGUAGACGCAGAGAACUGAAACAUCUUAGUACCUGCAGGAAGAGAAAGAAAAUUCGAUUCCCUGAGUAGCGGCGAGCGAAACGGGAAGAGCCCAAACCAACAAGCUUGCUUGUUGGGGUUGUAGGACUCCAAUAUGGUAGUCUGUUAGUAUAGUUGAAGGAUUUGGAAAAUUCCGCUAAAGAGGGUGAAAGCCCCGUAGACGAAAUGCUGACAACACCUAGGAGGAUCCUGAGUACGGCGGAACACGAGAAAUUCCGUCGGAAUCCGCGGGGACCAUCCCGCAAGGCUAAAUACUCCCUAGUGACCGAUAGUGAACCAGUACCGUGAGGGAAAGGUGAAAAGCACCCCGGAAGGGGAGUGAAAUAGAUCCUGAAACCGUGUGCCUACAACAAGUCAAAGCUCGUUAAUGAGUGAUGGCGUGCCUUUUGUAGAAUGAACCGGCGAGUUACGAUUGCAUGCGAGGUUAAGUCGAAGAGACGGAGCCGCAGCGAAAGCGAGUCUGAAUAGGGCGAAUGAGUAUGUAGUCGUAGACCCGAAACCAUGUGAUCUACCCAUGUCCAGGUUGAAGGUGCGGUAAAACGCACUGGAGGACCGAACCCACGUACGUUGAAAAGUGCGGGGAUGAGGUGUGGGUAGCGGAGAAAUUCCAAACGAACUUGGAGAUAGCUGGUUCUCUCCGAAAUAGCUUUAGGGCUAGCCUCGGAAUUGAGAAUGAUGGAGGUAGAGCACUGUUUGGACUAGGGGCCCAUCUCGGGUUACCGAAUUCAGAUAAACUCCGAAUGCCAUUCAUUUAUAUCCGGGAGUCAGACUGCGAGUGAUAAGAUCCGUAGUCGAAAGGGAAACAGCCCAGACCACCAGCUAAGGUCCCAAAAUAUAUGUUAAGUGGAAAAGGAUGUGGGGUUGCACAGACAACUAGG
This 1095-nucleotide ribosomal RNA is filed under the name Escherichia coli. Its description in RNAcentral is "partial 23S ribosomal RNA". It matches the Rfam family "Bacterial large subunit ribosomal RNA", at positions 1 to 1097 of the family's 2925-position model. Lineage: Bacteria; Pseudomonadati; Pseudomonadota; Gammaproteobacteria; Enterobacterales; Enterobacteriaceae. The record is from RNAcentral. RNAcentral also lists the same sequence under 3 other names.